UUCAAUAGCAAGCAUAGCCAGUUGUGUUUUGUUCUCCUCCUUUGAGGAUAUGACUUUUAAGGUGAUUUAAUUAAGAUGUAACAGUUUAUAGUCUGACACCUAAAUAUGGGAAAAUGCUUGAGGACCACUAAAUCUCUUGAGCCCUUAGUAAACUAAUAGCAAUUCUUGGAUCUCUGCUCUGAUUCCUAAAGGCUGCAGUCCACUUUUUUAGAGAUUUCUUCUCCCUCCUCCCUUCCACUGCUGGUCCUUGGUCUUUCAAACAAUUACCAUCGUUGACUCCUCCCAUAGGCAGGAUUCUCCUAAUGGAAGAGUAAAGCUAGAAUGGAUCUUGAACGAUCUAAUCUUAAAGAUUUGAGGAAGUGCUGGUGGUUGUGAACAAGUGCUCUGAAACUAACUGACCUGUGGAUUGCCUCUGUAGCUCAAUAGCACUACCGCUAUGGCCUUGACCCCACCAAGGAAAUGAUUGAGACAUAGAUUAAUUUAUAAUUGAGAAAAUGUAACAAUCAGAGUCGAUCAUUCUCUCUGAUGAUCUCACCUUUACUCCUUCCUUCCUCUGCACAUCUAGGAAGUUGUGACCCUUCCCUCUUGAGCCAGGCUGAGCAUUGAUGAUUAUUCAUGAAAUCAUCUGUAGUUGGUGUUGGGCACAUUGUGUGCCUCAAAGGUGAUUGGUGUUGAUAAACUGAGGUCCAAGAGUGAGUGAUUUUGCCGGUGGCUACACAGCUCUCAGUUGGCAGAGCUGUGAUUUAACCUGGGUUCCCUUCUUUUUCCCCUGAAACGCACUACCUAGAAAUUCUAGAUGGUGGCAUGGAGACAUAGUUUAAAGAUAAUGGUUCACUAUUUCAGAAAAAUAAUCUCUUGCCUCUUUUGACUGAAAAAGAACAUGGUUUCUAAAGCAAUGUGCUCAUGUGUUCAAGCCGGGAUGAGAACAGAAACAUUUUCUAGACAAAGACCUUAACAACCUAACACCUGUGUGUGGCAGGCAUCUCGAAUAUUAAUGGUUCAUCACAGCCUAUGCCAGUCUUGCUUCGUAAAAUGAAGAGCUGACCCCAAACCAUUUGGACAUUCAAAGCCAUGGCAGUUGUGUGCCAAGUAGAACUUACUGACUGCAGGACCCGCUUUCAAGUACUUAAGAGAUGACGACAUGCUCUGCUUCGUAUUGCUUGUGCUGAUGAAAAGCAGCAGGUGCUUUAGCAAAGAUGAUAGAAAUAUAGGCUGCCCAUUACCAAUGAAGGGGCCAAAGUUUGCUGUUAAGAUAGCUAGGCCACAGGUCAUCCAGAGGCUGCAGAACAGCUUCACAUAUGCCUGGGAGAUCCCGUGCCAGUAAUUAGGAGUUGCCUGUAGAUGUAGCAUAGUUUUCAUUUUUGAGUCAGACUGUUUUUCUUUUCAGUCUGUGAGCACAAGGUUACCCUACCCCAAAUUCUUCUCUGUUGAGAAAGAAACAAACCAUGUAAAAAUGUCCAAACCUACACACCUCCUUUUGGUAAAUAAGGAAUUACUGUUUGAUGGAAAACUAAAAGGGGCUGGAUUCAUGGAUCCAGAAAAAAAUCCUCAACCCUCCUCUGCUUCCCCCUCCCCAUGUAAUCCUGGAGGAAAGGCAGCCUGAAGAGUGUUAAUGGUAGGCUAAGCUGUGCACCCCCGGGAUGUACCAAACUGAUGUCUUUAAUUAAGAAAGUUGUUUGGGUAAGCUUUAAUGACCAGGUUCCUGCCAAGCCUGCAAAAACCACUUAUCACUAGCAUUAGGAGGAUCAAACCAUUGCCGCAUUCGACCAAAAGCCCUUAAGUGGGAGAAGGACAGUUUUUAAAAAUAUCAAAGGCGAAGUUGAAAGAGCUGUGAGUGUAACCAUCACUGAAACUUGAGGAUUCUCAGAAAAGGAAUCACUAGGUCAACAUCAUCACUCCAUUCAGCUGGCUCUAUGUUCGAAGUGGUAAGUAGAUCUUAACCAUUGUUCACGGUGUGUCCAGCCCCAUUAAACACUGACUUAAAUGUCCUGGGUCUGAACAGAGAUGGAGGAGGAGGAGGAGACGUUCAAGAUCAGGGGGCUGUAAACCAUUCCCGUAAAGAGCCAGACAGUAAGUACUUUAGGCUUUGUGCUCCAUGUAUAUCACUGUCGUAUAUUCUUUGAUUCGUGGAAGGAAGAAUUGGCUGUUUACACAAACCCUUUAAAAUUGUAAAAGCCAAUCUUUGCUUGAAAGCCGCAAGAAAUCUUUUCACUGGAAAUCUAAAAAGUGUCAGUAAACCAAAUAGAAAAAAAGAAGAAAAAAA
RNAcentral lists this long non-coding RNA (2263 nucleotides) under Sus scrofa (pig). RNAcentral's name for it is "lncRNA (ENSSSCG00015001683.1)". The record is from RNAcentral. Lineage: Eukaryota; Metazoa; Chordata; Mammalia; Artiodactyla; Suidae.